AGUGAACGCUGGCGGUAGGCCUAACACAUGCAAGUCGAACGGCAGCACAGUAAGAGCUUGCUCUUACGGGUGGCGAGUGGCGGACGGGUGAGGAAUACAUCGGAAUCUACUUUUUCGUGGGGGAUAACGUAGGGAAACUUACGCUAAUACCGCAUACGACCUACGGGUGAAAGCAGGGGAUCUUCGGACCUUGCGCGAUUGAAUGAGCCGAUGUCGGAUUAGCUAGUUGGCGGGGUAAAGGCCCACCAAGGCGACGAUCCGUAGCUGGUCUGAGAGGAUGAUCAGCCACACUGGAACUGAGACACGGUCCAGAAUCCUACGGGAGGCAGCAGUGGGGAAUAUUGGACAAUGGGCGCAAGCCUGAUCCAGCCAUACCGCGUGGGUGAAGAAGGCCUUCGGGUUGUAAAGCCCUUUUGUUGGGAAAGAAAAGCAGCAGGUUAAUACCCCGCUGUUCUGACGGUACCCAAAGAAUAAGCACAGGCUAACUUCGUG
RNAcentral lists this ribosomal RNA (492 nucleotides) under uncultured bacterium. RNAcentral's name for it is "partial 16S ribosomal RNA". It matches the Rfam family "Bacterial small subunit ribosomal RNA", at positions 29 to 507 of the family's 1533-position model. The record is from RNAcentral.